GCCCCCAUCGUCUAGCGGCCUAGGACAUCGCCCGCUCACGGCGGUAACACCGGUUCAAAUCCGGUUGGGGGUA
This 73-nucleotide transfer RNA is filed under the name Bifidobacterium crudilactis. Its description in RNAcentral is "tRNA-Glu". It matches the Rfam family "tRNA". Rfam says of the family: Transfer RNA (tRNA) molecules are approximately 80 nucleotides in length. Their secondary structure includes four short double-helical elements and three loops (D, anti-codon, and T loops). The record is from RNAcentral. Lineage: Bacteria; Bacillati; Actinomycetota; Actinomycetes; Bifidobacteriales; Bifidobacteriaceae.